This 619-nucleotide ribosomal RNA is filed under the name uncultured archaeon. RNAcentral describes it as "bacterial SSU rRNA". It matches the Rfam family "Archaeal small subunit ribosomal RNA", at positions 52 to 670 of the family's 1478-position model. The record is from RNAcentral.
UGCGAGUCAUAUGUUCUUCGUGAACAUGGCGUACUGCUCAGUAACACGUGGAUAACCUGCCCUUGGGACCGGGAUAACCCCGGGAAACUGGGGAUAAUACCGGAUAACGCAUAUCUGCUGGAAUGCUUUAUGCGUAAAAUGGAUUUGUCUGCCCAAGGAUGGGUCUGCGGCCUAUCAGGUAGUAGUGGGUGUAAUGUACCUACUAGCCUACGACGGGUACGGGUUGUGAGAGCAAGAGCCCGGAGAUGGAUUCUGAGACAUGAAUCCAGGCCCUACGGGGCGCAGCAGGCGCGAAAACUUUACAAUGCGGGAAACCGUGAUAAGGGGACACCGAGUGCCAGCAUCAUAUGUUGGCUGUCCAGAUGUGUAAAAUACAUCUGUUAGCAAGGGCCGGGCAAGACCGGUGCCAGCCGCCGCGGUAACACCGGCGGCCCGAGUGGUGAUCGUGAUUAUUGGAUCUAAAGGGUCCGUAGCCGGUUUGGUCAGUCCUCCGGGAAAUCUGACGGCUCAACCGUUAGGCUUUCGGUGGAUACUGCCAGACUUGGAACCGGGAGAGGUAAGAGGUACUACAGGGGUAGGAGUGAAAUCUUGUAAUCCCUGUGAGACCACCUGUGGCGAA